GGGGAUUUAGCUCAGUGGUAGAGCGCUUGCCUAGCAAGCACAAGGCCCUGGGUUCGGUUCCCAGCUCCG
Non-coding RNA from Rattus norvegicus (Norway rat), 69 nucleotides. NCBI's taxonomy places the organism in Eukaryota, Metazoa, Chordata, Mammalia, Rodentia, Muridae. The record is from Rfam.